Molecule: long non-coding RNA, 347 nt
Filed under: Linum usitatissimum (flax)
Lineage: Eukaryota; Viridiplantae; Streptophyta; Magnoliopsida; Malpighiales; Linaceae
Description: long non-coding RNA (LUSI_LNC006597)
Source: RNAcentral
CUCGCUUUUCUUUGUUUUUCAUCUUGUUUUUCUCUUUUCUUUCAUUUUUUGCUUUUUUUUUGCUUUUUUCAAUAUUGCGGCUUUUUCCAAAUAGGGAUGGUCACAACCUUGGCCGGACUCAAAGGUAAUCAGUCUCCGACCCAUGCCCCAAGCCUCAUAAAGGUUGGAAAGAAGGCAGACGCUGAGGGUCACUACACAUGUUUAGGUUGUACCCAAACCCCACUACAAUUUUAUUAUAGCAACCUCAUUUGGACUCCUUCUACCUGUUUUACCUUCGUAUCAACCUAGAGAAAUUUCAUGGGGAUAGCUACGAACACAGUCUAAUGCAACCUAGAACAAGAGAAAAG